Pelobates cultripes (western spadefoot toad) is the source of this 213-nucleotide non-coding RNA. Lineage: Eukaryota; Metazoa; Chordata; Amphibia; Anura; Pelobatidae. The record is from the annotation of a GenBank genome assembly.
CCAUUCAGUAAUAAUGUGCGCUCAGACCUAAGCUAUCUGGGCAUAUGUUGCAUGUCUGUAUUUUAUGUCAUAAAUGUAACCUUGUGUAUUUUAUUCUAUUUUACUGUCUUUUUGUUGCCAUGUGUUCAAUGGAGUUUUGCCUCUGUCUUUGGAGAUAAUUGGAUUACUUCUAAUUAUCUCCAGGAUAGAAGACUCUGUGGAACUGGUUUUGGG